GAGGUUAUAGCUCAGUGGUAGAGUGCAUGCUUAGCAUGCACAAAGUCCUAGGUUCAAUCCCCAGUACCUCCU
Camelus ferus (Wild Bactrian camel) is the source of this 72-nucleotide non-coding RNA. The record is from Rfam. NCBI's taxonomy places the organism in Eukaryota, Metazoa, Chordata, Mammalia, Artiodactyla, Camelidae.